CCUACGGGUGGCAGCAGUGAGGAAUAUUGGUCAAUGGGCGUAAGCCUGAACCAGCCAAGUCGCGUGAGGGAUGAAGGUUCUAUGUAUCGUAAACCUAUUUUAUAAGGGAAUAAAGUGCGGGACGUGUCCCGUUUUGUAUGUACCUCAUGAAUAAGGAUCGGCUAACUCCGUGCCAGCAGCCGCGGAAAUACGGAGGAUCCGAGCUUUAUCCGGUUUUAUUGGGUUUAACGGGUGAGUAGGCGGUUUUUUAAGUUAGUGGUUAAACGUCGGGGCUUCACCUUGAUUAGCCAUUAAUACUGUAAGACUCGAGUUCAGACGAGGUAGGCGGAAUAAGUUAAGUAGCGGUGAAAUGCUUAGAUAUAACGUAGAACACCGAUAGCGAAGGCAGCUUACCAGACUGCGACUGACGCUGAAGCACGAGAGCGUGGGUAGCGAACAGGAUUAGAUACCCCUGUAGUC
This 459-nucleotide ribosomal RNA is filed under the name uncultured bacterium. Its description in RNAcentral is "partial 16S ribosomal RNA". It matches the Rfam family "Bacterial small subunit ribosomal RNA", at positions 338 to 795 of the family's 1533-position model. The record is from RNAcentral.